GGUUAAGUUAGAAAGGGCGCACGGUGGAUGCCUUGACACUAGGAGUCGAUGAAGGACGGGACUAACGCCGAUAUGCUUCGGGGAGCUGUAAGUAAGCUUUGAUCCGAAGAUUUCCGAAUGGGGAAACCCACCAUACGUAAUGGUAUGGUAUCCUUAUCUGAAUACAUAGGGUAAGGAAGACAGACCCAGGGAACUGAAACAUCUAAGUACCUGGAGGAAGAGAAAGCAAAUGCGAUUUCCUGAGUAGCGGCGAGCGAAACGGAACAUAGCCCAAACCAAGAGGCUUGCCUCUUGGGGUUGUAGGACAUUCUAUACGGAGUUACAAAGGAACGAGGUAGACGAAGCGACCUGGAAAGGUCCGUCGUAGAGGGUAACAACCCCGUAGUCGAAACUUCGUUCUCUCUUGAAUGUAUCCUGAGUACGGCGGAACACGUGAAAUUCCGUCGGAAUCUGGGAGGACCAUCUCCCAAGGCUAAAUACUCCCUAGUGAUCGAUAGUGAACCAGUACCGUGAGGGAAAGGUGAAAAGCACCCCGGAAGGGGAGUGAAAGAGAUCCUGAAACCGUGUGCCUACAAAUAGUCAGAGCCCGUUAACGGGUGAUGGCGUGCCUUUUGUAGAAUGAACCGGCGAGUUACGAUCCCGUGCGAGGUUAAGCUGAAGAGGCGGAGCCGCAGCGAAAGCGAGUCUGAAUAGGGCGUUUAGUACGUGGUCGUAGACCCGAAACCAGGUGAUCUACCCAUGUCCAGGGUGAAGUUCAGGUAACACUGAAUGGAGGCCCGAACCCACGCACGUUGAAAAGUGCGGGGAUGAGGUGUGGGUAGCGGAGAAAUUCCAAUCGAACCUGGAGAUAGCUGGUUCUCCCCGAAAUAGCUUUAGGGCUAGCCUUAAGUGUAAGAGUCUUGGAGGUAGAGCACUGAUUGGACUAGGGGUCCUCAUCGGAUUACCGAAUUCAGUCAAACUCCGAAUGCCAAUGACUUAUCCUUAGGAGUCAGACUGCGAGUGAUAAGAUCCGUAGUCAAAAGGGAAACAGCCCAGACCGCCAGCUAAGGUCCCAAAGUGUGUAUUAAGUGGAAAAGGAUGUGGAGUUGCUUAGACAACUAGGAUGUUGGCUUAGAAGCAGCCACCAUUUAAAGAGUGCGUAAUAGCUCACUAGUCGAGUGACUCUGCGCCGAAAAUGUACCGGGGCUAAAUACACCACCGAAGCUGCGGAUUGAUACCAAUGGUAUCAGUGGUAGGGGAGCGUUCUAAGGACAGUGAAGUCAGACCGGAAGGACUGGUGGAGUGCUUAGAAGUGAGAAUGCCGGUAUGAGUAGCGAAAGACGGGUGAGAAUCCCGUCCACCGAAUGCCUAAGGUUUCCUGAGGAAGGCUCGUCCGCUCAGGGUUAGUCAGGACCUAAGCCGAGGCCGACAGGCGUAGGCGAUGGACAACAGGUUGAUAUUCCUGUACCACCUCUUUAUCGUUUGAGCAAUGGAGGGACGCAGAAGGAUAGAAGAAGCGUGCGAUUGGUUGUGCACGUCCAAGCAGUUAGGCUGAUAAGUAGGCAAAUCCGCUUAUCGUAAAGGCUGAGCUGUGAUGGGGAAGCUCCUUAUGGAGCGAAGUCUUUGAUUCCCCGCUGCCAAGAAAAGCUUCUAGCGAGAUAAAAGGUGCCUGUACCGCAAACCGACACAGGUAGGCGAGGAGAGAAUCCUAAGGUGUGCGAGAGAACUCUGGUUAAGGAACUCGGCAAAAUGACCCCGUAACUUCGGGAGAAGGGGUGCUUUCUUAACGGAAAGCCGCAGUGAAUAGGCCCAAGCGACUGUUUAGCAAAAACACAGCUCUCUGCGAAGCCGUAAGGCGAAGUAUAGGGGGUGACACCUGCCCGGUGCUGGAAGGUUAAGGAGAGGGGUUAGCGUAAGCGAAGCUCUGAACUGAAGCCCCAGUAAACGGCGGCCGUAACUAUAACGGUCCUAAGGUAGCGAAAUUCCUUGUCGGGUAAGUUCCGACCCGCACGAAAGGUGUAACGAUUUGGGCACUGUCUCAACCAGAGACUCGGUGAAAUUAUAGUACCUGUGAAGAUGCAGGUUACCCGCGACAGGACGGAAAGACCCCGUGGAGCUUUACUGUAGCCUGAUAUUGAAUUUUGGUACAGUUUGUACAGGAUAGGCGGGAGCCUUUGAAACCGGAGCGCUAGCUUCGGUGGAGGCGCUGGUGGGAUACCGCCCUGACUGUAUUGAAAUUCUAACCUACGGGUCUUAUCGACCCGGGAGACAGUGUCAGGUGGGCAGUUUGACUGGGGCGGUCGCCUCCUAAAGUGUAACGGAGGCGCCCAAAGGUUCCCUCAGAAUGGUUGGAAAUCAUUCGUAGAGUGCAAAGGCAUAAGGGAGCUUGACUGCGAGACCUACAAGUCGAGCAGGGACGAAAGUCGGGCUUAGUGAUCCGGUGGUUCCGCAUGGAAGGGCCAUCGCUCAACGGAUAAAAGCUACCCCGGGGAUAACAGGCUUAUCUCCCCCAAGAGUCCACAUCGACGGGGAGGUUUGGCACCUCGAUGUCGGCUCAUCGCAUCCUGGGGCUGUAGUCGGUCCCAAGGGUUGGGCUGUUCGCCCAUUAAAGCGGUACGCGAGCUGGGUUCAGAACGUCGUGAGACAGUUCGGUCCCUAUCCGUCGUGGGCGUAGGAAAUUUGAGAGGAGCUGUCCUUAGUACGAGAGGACCGGGAUGGACGCACCGCUGGUGUACCAGUUGUUCUGCCAAGGGCAUAGCUGGGUAGCUAUGUGCGGAAGGGAUAAGUGCUGAAAGCAUCUAAGCAUGAAGCCCCCCUCAAGAUGAGAUUUCCCAUAGCGUAAGCUAGUAAGAUUCCUGAAAGAUGAUCAGGUUGAUAGGUUCGAGGUGGAAGCAUGGUGACAUGUGGAGCUGACGAAUACUAAUAGAUCGAGGACUUAACCAU
RNAcentral lists this ribosomal RNA (2922 nucleotides) under Bacillus pacificus. Its description in RNAcentral is "23S ribosomal RNA". It matches the Rfam family "Bacterial large subunit ribosomal RNA". The record is from RNAcentral. Lineage: Bacteria; Bacillati; Bacillota; Bacilli; Caryophanales; Bacillaceae.